ACCUACGGGGGGCAGCAGGCGCGAAAACUCUACAAUGCAGGCAACUGCGAUAGGGGAACAUCGAGUGAUCCUCAUAUUGGGGGUCUGUCCCACUGUCUAAAAAACGGUGGUUAGCAAGGGCCGGGCAAGACCGGUGCCAGCCGCCGCGGUAAUACCGGCGGCUCGAGUGGUGGCCGAUAUUAUUGAGUCUAAAGGGUCCGUAGCCGGCUUUGCAAGUCUCUCGGGAAAUCCAGCGGCUUAACCGUUGGUCGUCCGGGGGGUACUACAUUGCUUGGGACUGGGAGAGGUAGGAGGUACUCAGGGGGUAGGAGUGAAAUCCUGUAAUCCUCUGGGGACCACCGGUGGCGAAGGCGUCCUACCAGAACAGGUCCGACGGUGAGGGACGAAAGCUAGGGGCACGAACCGGAUUAGAUACCCCGGU
Molecule: ribosomal RNA, 421 nt
Filed under: uncultured bacterium
Lineage: Bacteria
Description: bacterial SSU rRNA
Rfam family: Archaeal small subunit ribosomal RNA
Source: RNAcentral